Molecule: ribosomal RNA, 468 nt
Filed under: uncultured bacterium
Lineage: Bacteria
Description: partial 16S ribosomal RNA
Rfam family: Bacterial small subunit ribosomal RNA
Source: RNAcentral
GACGAACGCUGGCGGCGUGCUUAACACAUGCAAGUCGAACGGAAAGGCCCUGCUUUUGUGGGGUUCUCGAGUGGCGAACGGGUGUGUAACACGUGAGUAACCUUCCCUUUACUUUGGGAUAACUUCAGGCAAUUGGUGCUAAUACCUGCUAGGAGCUCCUGCUGCAUGGUGGGGUUUGGAAAGUUUCGGCGGUUGUGGAUGGACUCGCGGCUUAUCAGCUUGUUGGUGGGGUAGUGGCUUACCAAGGCUUUGAAGGGUAGCCGGCCUGAGAGGGUGAACGGCCACAUUGGGACUGAGAUACGGCCCAGACUCCUACGGGAGGCAGCAGUGGGGAAUAUUGCACAAUGGGCGGAAGCGUGAGGAAGCAACGCCGCGAGCGGGAUGAAGGCCUUCGGGUGGGAAACCGCUGUCGCCUGUGACGAAGCGGGAGUGACGGUAAUGGGUAAAGAAGCACCGGCUAACUACGUG